Molecule: ribosomal RNA, 305 nt
Filed under: uncultured bacterium
Lineage: Bacteria
Description: bacterial SSU rRNA
Rfam family: Bacterial small subunit ribosomal RNA
Source: RNAcentral
UUCCUACGGGACGCAGCAGUCGGGAAUAUUGCGCAAUGGAGGAAACUCUGACGCAGUGACGCCGCGUAUAGGAAGAAGGUUUUCGGAUUGUAAACUAUUGUCCACAGGGAAGAUAAAAGACUGUACCUGUGAAGAAAGCUCCGGCUAACUACGUGCCAGCAGCCGCGGUAAUACGUAGGGAGCAAGCGUUAUCCGGAAUUAUUGGGUGUAAAGGGUGCGUAGACGGGAUAACAAGUUAGUUGUGAAACCCCUCGGCUCAACUGAGGAACUGCAACUAAAACUAUUAUUCUUGAGUGCAGGAGAGG